RNAcentral lists this ribosomal RNA (292 nucleotides) under uncultured bacterium. RNAcentral describes it as "partial 16S ribosomal RNA". The record is from RNAcentral.
GGACUACUAGGGUAUCUAAUCCUGUUUGCUCCCCACGCUUUCGCACCUCAGCGUCAGUAUUGGCCCAGGUCGCCGCCUUCGCCACUGGUGUUCCUCCCGAUAUCUACGAAUUUCACCUCUACACCGGGAAUUCCGCGACCCUCUUCCAUACUCGAGCCUGCCAGUUUCGAAUGCUCUUCCUGGGUUGAGCCCAGGGCUUUCACAUCCGACUUAUCAGACCGCCUACGUGCGCUUUACGCCCAAUGAUUCCGAGCAACGUUUGCACCCUCCGUAUUACCGCGGCUGCUGGCAC